Long non-coding RNA from Etheostoma cragini (Arkansas darter), 83 nucleotides. RefSeq lists it as uncharacterized. NCBI's taxonomy places the organism in Eukaryota, Metazoa, Chordata, Actinopteri, Perciformes, Percidae. The transcript is spliced from 3 exons. The record is from RefSeq and is a predicted model, not a curated record.
AUCUGAUGCAGACCAGUUUCACCCUUCUACUCAAUCAAUGUUAAUGGGAUAUUUGCAACGGCAGAGUAGCGCAGACCUUGCGG